CCUACGGGCGGCAGCAGUGGGGAAUAUUGGACAAUGGGCGAAAGCCUGAUCCAGCCAUGCCGCGUGUGUGAAGAAGGCCUUCGGGUUGUAAAGCACUUUCAGUGGGGAAGAAAGCCUUGGGGCUAAUACCCUCGAGGAAGGACAUCACCCACAGAAGAAGCACCGGCUAACUCCGUGCCAGCAGCCGCGGUAAUACGGAGGGUGCGAGCGUUAAUCGGAAUUACUGGGCGUAAAGCGCGCGUAGGCGGUCUGAUAAGCCGGUUGUGAAAGCCCCGGGCUCAACCUGGGAACGGCAUCCGGAACUGUCAGGCUAGAGUGCAGGAGAGGAAGGUAGAAUUCCCGGUGUAGCAGUGAAAUGCGUAGAGAUCGGGAGGAAUACCAGUGGCGAAGGCGGCCUUCUGGACUGACACUGACGCUGAGGUGCGAAAGCGUGGGUAGCAAACAGGAUUAGAUACCCCGGUAGUC
Molecule: ribosomal RNA, 465 nt
Filed under: Vreelandella stevensii
Lineage: Bacteria; Pseudomonadati; Pseudomonadota; Gammaproteobacteria; Oceanospirillales; Halomonadaceae
Description: partial 16S ribosomal RNA
Rfam family: Bacterial small subunit ribosomal RNA
Source: RNAcentral